This 449-nucleotide ribosomal RNA is filed under the name uncultured bacterium. RNAcentral describes it as "partial 16S ribosomal RNA". It matches the Rfam family "Bacterial small subunit ribosomal RNA", at positions 29 to 523 of the family's 1533-position model. The record is from RNAcentral.
AGCGAACGCUGGCGGCAGGCCUAACACAUGCAAGUCGAACGAACUCUUCGGAGUUAGUGGCGGACGGGUGAGUAACACGUGGGAACGUGCCUUUAGGUUCGGAAUAACUCAGGGAAACUUGUGCUAAUACCGAAUGUGCCCUUCGGGGGAAAGAUUUAUCGCCUUUAGAGCGGCCCGCGUCUGAUUAGCUAGUUGGUGAGGUAAUGGCUCACCAAGGCGACGAUCAGUAGCUGGCCUGAGAGGAUGAUCAGCCACAUUGGGACUGAGACACGGCCCAAACUCCUACGGGAGGCAGCAGUGGGGAAUCUUGCGCAAUGGGCGAAGGCCUGACGCAGCCAUGCCGCGUGAAUGAUGAAGGUCUUAGGAUUGUAAAAUUCUUUCACCGGGGACGAUAAUGGCGGUACCCGGAGAAGAAGCCCCGGCUAACUUCGUGCCAGCCGCCGCCGUAA